UAAGAGGUCCCGCCUGCCCGGUGACCACGUGUUUAACGGCCGCGGUACUUUGACCGUGCGAAGGUAGCGCAAUCACUUGUCUUUUAAAUGGAGACCUGUAUGAAUGGCAUGACGAGGGCUCAACUGUCUCCUUUUUCUAGUCAAUGAAAUUGAUCUUCCCGUGCAGAAGCGGGAAUAGACCCAUAAGACGAGAAGACCCUGUGGAGCUUUAGACGCAAAGCCAGACCAUGUCAAUCAUCCCCACCCCAAGGGCUAAACAUAAUGAAUUACCUGUGCUGAUGUCUUUGGUUGGGGCGACCUCGGAGAAGCACAAAACCUCCAAGUGGAAUAGGAGCACUACGCUCCCAAAAACAAGAGCCACAGCUCAAACUAACAGAACUUCUGACCAACAAACAGAUCCGGCUUAUAAUGCUGAUCAACGGACAGAGUUACCCCAGGGAUAACAGCGCAAUCCCCUUCAAGAGCCCAUAUCGACAAGGGGGUUUACGACCUCGAUGUUGGAUCAGGACAUCCUAUUGGUGCAGCCGCUAUUAAGGGUUCGUUUGUUCAACGAUUAAUAGUCC
RNAcentral lists this ribosomal RNA (563 nucleotides) under Chromis nigrura (blacktail chromis). Its description in RNAcentral is "partial large subunit ribosomal RNA". It matches the Rfam family "Bacterial large subunit ribosomal RNA", at positions 1846 to 2596 of the family's 2925-position model. The record is from RNAcentral. Lineage: Eukaryota; Metazoa; Chordata; Actinopteri; Pomacentridae.